CCUUGCAGAGUUAGGGAACAUUUUACUUGGAAAAAAAAGGUCUUCUCUUCCUGCAGAGAUCCACGGCUGUAUUCUCCUGCAGAGCCUGAGCCCUGCCUGGCAGAGUAGGCAAAAAUACAUCGUGCCUGAGCCUGAUUGCUAAGAGCUAUCUCAGCUAUUUCUCUGUGAAGAACUGCUGUACCCCAGUCUUGACUUCAUACCCAUCUGUGUGGCAUCUUUCAGGAUAUCCCAAUGGCUGGCUUCAUCUUCCUUCAAAAAUCCUCUGAUGCUUCACUUCAAAGACCCAUGUAGGUGACGGCUUCACUGACAGACUGAAGAAACAGAAAGAAGCAACCCACCUUGUGAGAGCUUCUGUGGAGGCUUCUGAUCUGGGAAGAAGUCAGAGAUGCAAAGGCUGAAAUUUUAUCUCUCUAUGCUUUUCCUCCUCUGUACAUCCUUUCCACGUUUUCCACGGUUUACUUCCAUCUCUGAUUUGACGGGUUUCUGUGAGGCCUUCUCUAAUUAGAACAGGUAAAAACAGCUCGGCUGAGCACAAGCUUAACUGUAUCACAGUGUGGUUUUUAACUUUAUGCAGUACGCUUUGCAUGGCAGUUUUAAUAGCAUGCCAAAUCUGCAUACGUAUAAAUUUAUAUGCAUCUGUUGCGAAGUGUGGGCCUCCUUAUACUGAAAAGCCAAUGCACAAGCAAGCGAUAUUGCCAAGGAGUUUUGUUGCAUUUCUGUAAUAACUAGAACUGUGGUUCAGACUCACAGUUCAGAGAUGCAUUUUUGGAAUACCUCUGCAUAUGUAUUUUAGUGCAUUUGAGCUCACUAGAGUAUUCAGCCUGGGCUCUAAGUACCAGAUGAAUCCCUGAGAUGAGUUGAGGAAUUUCUUAGGCAUGUUUUGAAUUCUUUAGCUUCCUGCUUCCUAUAUUUUUAUCCAUUUCCCUAUGCUCUGAACAUACAUUGAGAGGAUUUUUUUAAUCAGAAUGUGAGUGAACAUGAAACAUGAAUGUAGUAACCUAUUUUCAACUCUAUUUUCAGGAGUUGUUUUCUUUCGAGUUCACAAUGCAUACAGUAGCUAUAAAAAGACAUUAUAUUUUCAAGGUCUGUCAUAUUAUUUACAAUGUGUGAACAUAAAACCUCUCUGAUGUUUCCUGAUAAACAGUCAGACCCAGUAGCACAGCUGAACAACAGGCUCGGUACAUCAGGUGCAUAACCAGCUUCAGGUGGAGUAAGGAAGCCAAGGGUAUAGGAACAUGCUCUUUCUAGAGGACGAGGGUGUACUCAGAUCUCUGCAGUUUCAAAUGCUGGCGUAUGUGGGUUAACACAAACAUUUCUGGUAUGUUGUGGCCUAGCACUGCUACCUUCCAGGCAGUCAGUCAUCUAAGCAAAAUUUCCACAUGGGUGGCUGCUGAAAAACACAAUGCCCCUUACCCUAGGCUGAAUCCUAGUUUUGUUGAAGUCAAUGACAAAACGGUCUUUGACUUCAAUGGGGUCAGGACUGGUAAAGUCUGACUUCCAUUUGAGCUUGGGGUUGGAGAUAUCUUGCAGGAAAAUAAAUCUGACUUUCACUCAGGGGGUGGAAUCGCUCAGCGGAUUUGCAGAUCUUUCACCUCUAUGCCCAAAGAGGGCUUACUCUCUUCUGGACUCAGAUGUCUCUAUAGAAGAAAUUACUGCCUUCCUUCUGACUCCUUAAGUUGUUUUAAGGGUAAAUUAGCCAGCUUAGUUUAUACAACUGGAAAUUGUGGUUUCAGCUGGGAUAUUUGACCUGGAGUGAAUUAGGGAGUGCUCACACAAGCUGCAUAGCCUGCAGAACAUGGUAAAGUGAGAACCAGGAAGGAGGUGCAGGGCUGCUGUGAGUGUUAAACUCUUGGUCAGGAAAAUAAGAUAUAUAUAUGUGUGUGUGUGUGUGUAUAUAUGCCCAUGGUUUAGAUAAUCAGAAGAGUGCCACCACCUCAUUGCUCCUGCAUGUGGUGAACUUUGAUCUCUAGGUCUUAUAUUCAUGAUGGAAAAGCUUUUCCUUAUGUUCCUUUCCAGUUGGUCACCCAGUGAUAUCUUCUUGCACUGCGGCCUGUGCAACACAAAAGCUGUGUUGCUACAGCCACAUGAGACCAGCUUAACUGUAGCUUCUGUUUUCUGCUUGUCUUCAGUAAUGCUCCAGAAGGACAUGUCAAACAGCAACCUGAGAGGAAGCUUUCUCCAUUUACACUUAAGAGCCACCCUCAGGCCCAGUGGGUGCUCACAGAAAAACGGGUGUGCUUACAUGCAGACAAUGGAAACAGAAACAACACUUAAAAUGAGGUGUUUUCCACAUGUGAGUGCAUGGCCCCUGUGGGCAUA
Long non-coding RNA from Oxyura jamaicensis (ruddy duck), 2319 nucleotides. RefSeq lists it as uncharacterized. Lineage: Eukaryota; Metazoa; Chordata; Aves; Anseriformes; Anatidae. The transcript is spliced from 3 exons. The record is from RefSeq and is a predicted model, not a curated record.